GGAAUAUUCCACAAUGGGGGAAACCCUGAUGGAGCGACGCCGCGUGAGUGAAGAAGGGCUUCGGCUCGUAAAGCUCUUUUCUCGUUGACGAAUUAGCCUUUGGGGCAGUUGACGGUAGACGGGGAAUAAGUCACGGCUAACUACGUGCCAGCAGCCGCGGUAAUACGUAGGUGGCAAGCGUUAUCCGGAUUUAUUGGGCGUAAAGCGAGCGCAGGCGGUUUGAUAAGUCUGAUGUGAAAGCCUUUGGCUUAACCAAAGAAGUGCAUCGGAAACUGUCAGACUUGAGUGCAGAAGAGGACAGUGGAACUCCAUGUGUAGCGGUGGAAUGCGUAGAUAUAUGGAAGAACACCAGUGGCGAAGGCGGCUGUCUGGUCUGCAACUGACGCUGAGGCUCGAAAGCAUGGGUAGCGAACA
This 414-nucleotide ribosomal RNA is filed under the name uncultured bacterium. RNAcentral's name for it is "bacterial SSU rRNA". It matches the Rfam family "Bacterial small subunit ribosomal RNA", at positions 358 to 774 of the family's 1533-position model. The record is from RNAcentral.